This 320-nucleotide long non-coding RNA is filed under the name Olea europaea (common olive). RNAcentral describes it as "long non-coding RNA (OEUR_LNC008705)". The record is from RNAcentral. Lineage: Eukaryota; Viridiplantae; Streptophyta; Magnoliopsida; Lamiales; Oleaceae.
AAUGGUCAAAUACUAGUCAAAACCUAAUCACGUAAAAUAAGCAGGUUAAAGUGAGAUUUAACGAGGUCAAUGGAUCCAAUUACGUGAGUUUAGAUAAAAAUAGAUCAGUAGCAGCACAAAAAUUUAAUUGAUGCAAUUUCAAAAUGAAACAGUAAUAUAAACCAACAAUAAAUAAAAGCAAGAACUUCCCUUUCGUUCGUCGAAGUAGUCAAGCCAGAUCAACCAGAAUAAAAGAUGUACCUGUAAAUAAUAGAAAAGACGUUUCUUCUCUUUUUUUUUUCUUUUUUUUUCGCUUUUUUUUUCACUUUUUUUUUCCUUUU